This 549-nucleotide ribosomal RNA is filed under the name uncultured bacterium. RNAcentral's name for it is "bacterial SSU rRNA". It matches the Rfam family "Bacterial small subunit ribosomal RNA", at positions 1 to 530 of the family's 1533-position model. The record is from RNAcentral.
CAGCGCUAUUUAGGUUAGAGUUUGAUCAUGGCUCAGGACGAACGCUGGCGGCACGCUUAACACAUGCAAGUCGAGCGAGAACCCACCUUCGGGUGGGGGAAAGCGGCGAACGGGUGAGUAACACGUGGGCAACCCACCCUUGGUAUCGGGAUAGCCCGGGGAAACCCGGAUUAAUACCGGAUGGCCCAGCAGCUCUUCGGGGCGGCUGGAAAAGGUAGCUUCGGCCUCCGACCAAGGACGGGCCCGCGGCGGAUUAGCUUGUUGGUGGGGUAAUGGCCUACCAAGGCGACGAUCCGUAGCUGGUCUGAGAGGACGAUCAGCCACACUGGGACUGAGACACGGCCCAGACUCCUACGGGAGGCAGCAGUGGGGAAUCUUGCGCAAUGGGCGAAAGCCUGACGCAGCGACGCCGCGUGGGGGAAGAAGGCUUUCGGGUUGUAAACCCCUUUCAGGUGGGACGAAGCCACUCGGGUUAAUAGCCCAGAGGGUGACGGUACCGCCAGAAGAAGCCCCGGCUAACUACGUGCCAGCAGCCGCGGUAAUCCGCCC